RNAcentral lists this non-coding RNA (30 nucleotides) under Rattus norvegicus (Norway rat). Lineage: Eukaryota; Metazoa; Chordata; Mammalia; Rodentia; Muridae. The record is from RNAcentral.
UGUAGUAUCUGGGCAAACGCCCUUCAUCUA